Molecule: ribosomal RNA, 251 nt
Filed under: uncultured prokaryote
Description: partial 16S rRNA
Rfam family: Bacterial small subunit ribosomal RNA
Source: RNAcentral
ACGUAGGGUGCGAGAGUUAAUCGGAAUUACUGGGCGUAAAGGGUGCGCAGGCGGUUUUGUAAGCCAGAUGUGAAAUCCCCGGGCUUAACCUGGGAACUGCGUUUGGAACUACAAGGCUAGAGUGUGUCAGAGGGGGGUAGAAUUCCACGUGCGCCAGCGACAGGGAUAGCGAUGUGGAUCAAUAACGAUGGCGAGGGCAGCACCAAGUUAUAACACUGCCGGUCAUGCGGGUAAGUGUGGGGACCAAAAAG